Molecule: long non-coding RNA, 348 nt
Filed under: Theobroma cacao (cacao)
Lineage: Eukaryota; Viridiplantae; Streptophyta; Magnoliopsida; Malvales; Malvaceae
Description: long non-coding RNA (TCAC_LNC002366)
Source: RNAcentral
CCAUCCAAAAUAUCUAAAGCUGAGUAAAUGGAGACAGAUUAAAAUAGAUCAUCAUAUUGUAAUUUAUCACCUUUCAACUCAUUUUAACCAAAUAAAAUCAAUUCAUAUGAAUCGAGCAAUCAACAUGGCUUAUGAAUUUCUUAAAACUUUGGCUCGUGCCAAAAUCAUUCUCAUACUCAAUUAUCAGGGAUACCUUGGCCGAGGGCUAUCCCAACUGAGUCCGCCAAGGUUGUUAAAAAGUUAUGUACGCAUAAAUCAUGUUUUUAUUUUGAAAAUAUAGUCGUUCCUUGGCGUUGGCUGAGUUCACCCUCACGUGGUGGUUUGGCGUGAAGUGAACUCCAAAGUGUU